Molecule: long non-coding RNA, 827 nt
Organism: Panicum virgatum (switchgrass)
Lineage: Eukaryota; Viridiplantae; Streptophyta; Magnoliopsida; Poales; Poaceae
Exons: 4
Source: RefSeq, a predicted model, not a curated record
AAAUAUUAGAUUGCGCGUCGGUUCAUUUUCUCCGCUAAUGCUCUCUCUCUAGGUUCCUCUCUCUCAUCUGCGGGGGCACCUGCUCCAAUCCACCACAUUUCGCAUGCACAUCUGGGCUCCUGCGAAAGUAUUUCCGAGGGGAUUGAAUCACAAAUCUAUCCCAGGAGCUCAUCGACGAACACAUCAGGUAUCCAUGGAUGACUGGAAGCGCAAAUCACCAGCAGCUCGCGGCUCUACUUGAUCCAGGGGCGCGACAGAUUCAGAUGAGCGAUUCCCCCUCCCCUUCCUCGCACCCUGUUACUGGAUCGAUUAUCCAUUCUGGACAGGGGGUUCCUAUCCGUGAUUCUUUUGCCUGUUUUUUCAGCAUUGGAGGAGGAAGGCUCACACCCAACAAGGGGAAAGCGCACACCCAACAAAUCAACACAAAGACCAUCUGACCCUAAACAUUGCAUCCAGCAACCACCCAUCCCUGAAUAUUUGCAACCAAAAAUUACAAUGCCAGGAGUACAGAAGGAGGUCGGGCUACAUCAUCCCAAGAUGUCUCUAGCAGCAUAGGAGGAACAACAUAGGAGGAAGGAGGUGGUGUGGAUAGAAUAGUAUGUGCAAAUUUGAAGCAGAUUGCGUAUAUAAAGCAAGCAAAGUAACUACUUAUGUGCAGUCAUGCAUAAGUAACUACUUAUGCAUGUGUUGUAAAGCACCGGACAAAAGAAGGUUGGGUAGAUCUUGUUGGAAACCCUAGAUCAUGCCUUCAAACUAUGGGGAGAUACAAUGAAUUUUGUGUACAAACCUUGGUUAUUGCACCGAUUUUGUUGUUUUGGCCCCUGUGA